Non-coding RNA from Malus domestica (apple), 3900 nucleotides. The record is from RefSeq and is a predicted model, not a curated record. NCBI's taxonomy places the organism in Eukaryota, Viridiplantae, Streptophyta, Magnoliopsida, Rosales, Rosaceae.
GUUUACUCUUCCAUUCAAUGAUCUCGUAAGGGGAGCCCGCACUCCUCAUCUCUCACUCUUCCUCUCUCUUCUUCUCUACUGGAAAAUCCAGUCUUUCAUCUUCCUCGGCUCUUCCUUUCUCUCCGCUCCCCAUAUCUCUCUCCGUGGAGCCUACAAACUAAGUAGUGACGAUCGACAAGCUUCAAACAUGGCGGACGCGUACUGGAGAAGGGACAGUUCUGUCCGUUGCAGAGAGAGACGGGGGAGUAUGGGCGUAGGGGAGAGGAUUUACGGCAGGGAGGUAUGGGUUUAGGGAGAAAGAGUAAGGGAGAAGUAUGGGGUAGGCUGAUUUCCAGGGAUUUCUUUUCACCCCUUCACUCACCACGAACCCACCUUUCCUUUCUUUUCUCCCGCCCUCAAAUCUUCCGUUUUCCCUCUCACAAAAUACCCACCAGGGAAACCCUGCUUUUGGUUUAUUUUGGGAUUUUGUUUGCGCUCUCGAUUUUCAGACGACGGGCCAUUGGUUGAGAUUUGGAUUUCUUCCCCUUUUGUCGAAACGCACAAAUUUUGUUUCGGUGGGAUCGGUCUCGAAUAGCUGUGUGUGUCUACCCUUUUCAAGGGGAUGGACAGAAGUCCCAGGCAGCAAACUCUCUGUAAUCAUCAUUGGGAAAAUAUUGUGGUCAUUUUGAGCUCGGAUUCAGCCAGCAUGUGAUCUGUGCAAGAUAUCCAUAUAUGGAUCAAUGCUAUGGACUCUUUUCAACCUAUUUACCUCAAAUUUCAGUGCGUCUUCCAUCAUUUCUCCUACCUCAUUAUAUAUGGAGCUAUUACAUUUGCAAUCAUAUUAAUUCCUUGAAAACAAUAUUUAUAUUUCUCUGUAAACUGCUAAUUUUGGAAUAUACUAUCGUUUCCUUGCUGGUACAUUAAAAUGGAAAUAUGAAAAGUAGAACCGGUUUAAGAAGCAUGCUAAUCUCUAUUUACGUUCUUGGUUGUCUACGAUAAUUUUUAGUUAUGUGAACUAGAAACCAUUUGUGAUUUAACUUGGAAAGUCUCUUAGCACCCCUCUGUGUAUUUUCGUGAAUGAGAAUAAGCACGUCCCUAUUUGUAGUUUUACUCUGAUUAAAAGUCAGAACAAUGUCAAGGCAAGCUGCUUUUUGUAAUCUAGGUCUGGGUUAUGGUCAAGUUAUUGCUAUUUGUUCUGGGUAUUUGCUGAAAUUUGUGUUCAAUUAGUGUGAGUUCUGUAAUUGGUUUGUGUUCGUUCAUAUAACCUUCUGUUCUUGGAAUGUGAUUUAGCGAAGGCCCUGUAAUUUGAUUCGUAAUUCUUUAUGAUUCAGCACUAUGUUGAUGACCCUGAAGUACCUAAUGUCCAACACCAUUGUAACAUUUUGAAAGAACAAUGUUUUUAAGGAGGUUGGAUAGCAUCUUAGGGCAUGUUUGUUUGGCCUCACUAACCUUCCUUAGACUAGACUGGACUACCUAUGAAUCUAAUCCCGUGUUUGGUAGGUGCUAGGAUUAUGUUUAAUAAGACUAAAUGGGACUCGCAUGGACAAACUCCUUCGCUAGGAGGCCUUAGCGAGACCCCCCAAAUUGAAGCGGACUGCUAAGACCAUCACAGUUUAUCUGCUCUGCUUCGCUUUGCCAAAACCGCUUAUCUUGGAUCGAUUGACUGCUCUUCCUCAUGCGAGUCCUUAGGGCUGAAAGAAAAGAAGUGUAAAUGGGAGGCAUUUGAAGAAGAAGGCUAAAUGGCGCUACCAUGUUGUAUUGGCAGGUCGGGAAAAGUUUUGAAGAGGAUAGAGAGUGAGCUUGGAAAUGUAAGGAUUUUGCAUGUGUUGUGUAAGGUGACUGGCAAUAACCUUAUCUUGGUCAAUUAGCAAAAUGCUAUCAGAAUCUUUCACAGCAUCAAAUAUCUUUGAGAAUUCUUGAGCUGCCAUUGAUUCCUGCAUUUGUGCACACUUUCAUUUAUUCAAGACUUAUACAAAUGUCUUUGAGAAUUCUUGACUGCCAUUGGUUUCUUCCGUGCCAUGUAAUUUCAUACUUAUAGAAAUGUCUAUGCGUUCCUCAAAGCUUAUGUUUUCCCAAGCCAGAGCAAUGUUGAAUCUUUUGGGGGUUUUUGUUAAUUAUUUGUUGAUGGUAAUCCCAUCUCUCUUAAGACUGUUUUAGAUGUACAAUAUAUGUCAUUUUUUCUCUAUGGUAUGACUGAAACAUUAGCUCCGUUUCUGGUAUCUCACCCUUAAGUUUGCAGGUUUAUAUGUUCGUUUUGUUUCAAAAGAUUGCUGGCUGUCUAGUUGCGGAACCAAUCAAAACACACAAAGUUCAUGUGUAGUUGAUGGAAGUUCUGAUAAAAAGGUCCAAAGCUUUUGUUGAUGCUUUGCCCUCAUGGUAGCUAAACAACUCUGCUGAAAAAAGCACUGCCAAGAUGAAGAUUGAGGACGAUGAUCAACUAUUUCAGAACAAAUUGUCAAAUUCUCAUCUGGCUUUCGCCAAUUUUGCAGGAGAGAGAAGAUAGAGAAAGUGGUGUUGUACUAGAUGUGAAGUUCUCUAUUUAUUUUUAUUUUUUUAAGUUUUAGAUUUUCCUUUUCUAAAACAACAAGUGUGGAUUAAAAUGUGAAUUAAAAAUGAUAAGAAAAUUAAUUUGGGUCCCAAAAAUAUUUUAGUCCGGCACUUCUCCAAACACUUAACUAUUCUUAUCCUGCUUAGUCUAAGCCAAGCUUGUCCACCUUAGUCCCUGAGACUAAUCUAGUCUGAGAUAGUUCAGCACAACAAACGCAUCCUUAAUUUAUAUGGGAGUUGGUUUUAUCUUCCUUUUGUGCUGCUCUUUCAGUUUUUCAGUCUCUCUGCAUAAAUCAAACCGUAUGUGUUUUGCCCGUUUUUGUUCAUGGCCCUAUUGUUUGUAAUUGUAGUAGUGAUCCUGUGUUUGAUGUUGCAGAAAUUACACCGUAUGUAUUUCACCAUGAAUAUGCAUGGUGAAAAAAAAAAACCAUGGGGAAAUCAUUUUUCGUAUGAUUUGUAUUACCUGACCAUGCAGGGAUGGUUCAAAAAACAACAGGUGACGUUUGUGAUUUGACAUUUGACGUUUACCUUUGUUGCCUCUCUCUUUUUCUCUUCAUUAAUCUGCCUUUCCCUGCCUUUUCGUUUGUAAAAUGUUCGAAUAUAGUCAUCUUGGGAGUCUUAAUAUGAUCGUUCUUUUAUUUCUUAGAUUCAAAAUGUUUUUAAUUUCUUAUUUAUUUGGUGUAGCUUUGGUCAUCUCUAAAAUUUAAUCAGAUUUGGUUGUUGAAUUUCUUUGAAUUGCUAAUGGAUUUACUUUCUUUGGAAAUUUCAGAAAUUCUGAUCGUGGGAGGAAGAAGCUGGUUCCUUACGGCAUGUUCAAAGCCUAAUUAGUCAUGUGAUGGAUGAUCAGGACCUGGGCUUCUUUGCCAAUUUUCUCGGCAUCUUCAUUUGGUAAUAGCGUAUCAUUUUGUGAUGCCCGACCCAAAAUAUGAAGGCAACUAAUGAUCUGUUUCUUUUUUAUGUAUUUGCAAUGGAUAUGCAAUUUUCUCGCGACUAAUGGAGUUAAGCUAUUAUUUUUGUAGCGUGAACUAUUUCAGAAUGGAUACAACUUGAUUUAGUGAGAAGCUUUGGUAUACAAUAUGAAUGUGUGCUGUUAUGAUUUUCUUUCUCUAGUUUAUCUGUGCUUCAUAUUUAGUUUUCCACGCCUUUGCAUUGUUAAGGGUGUGGACCGUGUUCGGACUGUGUUUUGAAGGUUACCAUUGCCUGUGGUAGUGAAUCAAAUGAUCCGUUGUUCGUAGAAAGUGCGAAAAACACAUUUUAGGGUUCAUGGAAAAAAACAUUCCUUUUGGUGAAUAUUCAGAAAGAUAUAGGGAAAUUACAAUGUGUACUGAGGUCAAUGGAAUAUUGAAAAAUCUAAUGGCAUUUGCCAAUCUGUUA